AUGCAAGUACAAGUUUAUCUUGAAAAAGAGAAACCGCGAAUAGCUCAUUAAAUCAGUUACUAUCUACGCGCCAAGUCUCUUAUAAUUGGAUACCUGCGGUAACCCUGCAGCUAAUACAUGCAGAUUGAAUCAGUUGAUCUUUGAAAUCCUGGUGAAGUUUAGCAAGAAUACGCCGGGCGACCUCGUUGAAGGCGCAUACGGGAUGAAUCCAAUAGAAUCUAGUUAACUCAAGGAUCCGAGACCCCUAGGGGGUGCGGACGUGGCGCAUGAGUUUCUGACCUAUCAGCUACGAUGGUAGUGUAACGGACUACCGUGGCUAUGACGGGUAACGGGGAAUCAGGGUUCGAUUCCGGAGAGAGUGCCUGAGACACGGCAAUCACAUCCAAGGAAGGCAGCAGGCACGCAAAUUACCCAAUCCCGGUACGGGGAGGUAGUGACGAGAAAUAACAGCUAAAAGCCCGAGAGGUUUAUAGUUGGAAUGAAUAGAAUGCGACUAAUAGCUUCUAGAGAUGUGCGAGAGGAGGGCAAGUCUGGUGCCAGCAGCCGCGGUAAGACCAGCCUCCUCAAGCAUAUGCACAAAUUGCUGCGUUUAAAAAGCUCAUAGUUGGAUCUGUCGGGGCGGUGCGGCAACAUAUAGUGUUCAGUUACGACAGUUCACUAUCGUACUACCCCUUGAGCGCUCCUUGGUUAUAGCGUGAGCUCUUAAUUGAGCGAGCCUAUGAUCAUCGAGAGAUACUCUGAGUAAAUUAGAGUGUUCAAAACGCCCUUUGGGAAAUGAAUAAUAUAGCAUGGAAUAGAGGAGAAUGAUCGGCUGUUUCCUUAUAAGCCGGUGGCUGGAAAUGCUGUGAUGGUUGAAAGGAGCAGGCGGGGGCAUAUGUAUUGCUUGGGGAGAGGUGAAAUUCUUAGAUCCUUGCAAGACAAACUACAGCGAAAGCAUUUGCCAAGAAUGUUUCCAUUAAUCAAGAACGAAAGUUAGAGUAAUGAAAAGGAUUAGAUACCCUUGUAAUUCUAACCAUAAACUAUGCCUACUUGCAUUCUGCUGAUGUCCUACCGGGCAUGGCAGGGUGCUACCCGUGAAAAACAAAGUUGUUUGGCUACGGGGGAAGUAUGGUUGCAAAAUCGAAACUUAAAGGAAUUGACGGAAGGGCACCACCAGGAGUGGAGCCUGCGGCUUAAUUUGACUCAACACAGAAAACCUUGCCAGGUCCAGACAUAUUGAGGAUUGACAGAUAGUAUAGCUCUCUUGAUUAUAUGGGCGGUGGUGCAUGGCCGUUCUUAGUUAGUGGAUUGAUCCGUCUGCUCAAUUGCGAUAACGAACGAGAUCUUUACCAAAUCCCUAACUAAUAGUAGGCACUUUGUGUCUAAAUAAACACUUCUUAGAGGAACAACGCCAGACUAAAUAUGGCGAGUAGGAGAGGCUAUAACAGGUCUGUGAUGCCCUUAGAUGUUCUGGACGGCACGCGCGCUACAUUGAAUUGUUACACACGCACGUGAUCCUUGACUUCCUAGAGGUCGGGGGAAUCGUGUUUGAACAAGUUCCAGAGAAGGGGAUCGGUUAUUGUAAUGAUAGCUGUGAACCCGGAAUUCCUAGUAAAUUGAACUCGCCAAGUUCAAUUGAUUAUGUCCCUGCCCUUUGUACACACCGCCCGUCGCUACUACUGAUCGGGAUGAAUAAGCGAGGUUUUUGAAUCUUGGAACCCUUUGCCAGAUCUCCGGUGAAGGCUCUGGGGGAAGGGAGUCCUAGCUUAUUUGUCUA
This 1756-nucleotide ribosomal RNA is filed under the name Polychoerus parvus. RNAcentral describes it as "partial 18S ribosomal RNA". It matches the Rfam family "Eukaryotic small subunit ribosomal RNA". Lineage: Eukaryota; Metazoa; Xenacoelomorpha; Acoela; Convolutidae. The record is from RNAcentral.